CUCAAACCCCCCACGACAGCCCUCCGUCCGGCCUACUGCCAAACUAACCAAGUGAUUAGUCACAUCUCCGCGUGCCGCAAAACAAACAAGCCUUUUAGGAGUAAAUGUGAGAGUAAAGGAGCCACGGCGAGUAUUCGCACAUCAUCGCAAGACGUGAGAGACGCGAUUUAGCGGGGAGCGCUAUCUCACAAAGGCCACAGAGGGCGGCGGUGUGAUGCUUGAUCCCAGCCAUCAAAGGUAGGAAGUCAAACAGAAUAUAUGAUUCUCAUAUGGCGACAUUUGAAAAAAAACAAAACAGGCGGGCUAAAAUGCUCAUAUUAGUGGCUUUGAUAGGUCAUUUUAUAACCAGUGGUCAAAGUCACUCGCCCUUUCACCUUGUACGCCAUUUAAUCCGUCGCUAAUCUAAAGAUAUUGAUAAGGGCAGUUUUAAAUGGAGGGUCUGAAUAUUUCUUCCACCACUUAUAAUGAACUGAUUAUGCGUCUUAAUGAUUUUCCAACAAAAUCCUCUUCUUACACUGAAUUGCUUUUUUAUUAGGAUCAUACUGUACAUGCUCAGGGUUUUCUGUGGAGGAUUAGAGGGAACUUCAUGGUUCCACAGAUCUCCCUUCUGGAAAUACGCCUCGUAUUCAUUGCACUUGUGUGUGAGGGACGGUGUAUUAUAGUGCACACAUAAAGAAUGAACUGUUGUCCUACGAUGAUGUUUGCCCGGUGCACAACAUAUAUUAGGGAAUGUUUGUCAUGUUGUCAGACCCUGGCUGGAUGAAAUACAACUUUUAAUUCAUAAAAGCUUUUUGGUCAUUUUUUCGCAUUACAACAAAGUGCACAGUGGAGAAUUAUAAAGCAUGGAUGGUCGUAAAUGUGGAACAUGCACCGCGAUCUGCUGAGGUACUUGGGUAUUGCCGGAAGGGCAGUUAUUAUGAAUCUUUAUUAAAAAAUGAUUACCACAGGGAUGGAUUUAAAAUAAAUCGCAGAUGAAUUCAUUUCAGUGGCGCUGCAGACAGGAAACAGAGAAGUUGGAUUCUAAUAAGUGCUUAGAUAAGCAUAUGAGGCCACCGUAGCCACGCAUGAGCUACGCAGCAUGUGCGCCUCGCUCAUCUGCCUCGGACACACCGAACGCUGUUGUGCUUGUAGGAAAAACAAACCCAGAAAGCACAACAAAUCCCCUGCUAGUCUGUGUUUCUCUGUUGGCUGACUGGGUCUGUGUGUGUUUCUCUGUGUGUGUCUGUGUGUGGUGUGUGCGUUUGCACUCGGCGCCAGUCACGCUGUCCCCAGUAACCUCCCUCUAACUCUCGGGACAGGAAGAAACAUGUUCUCCCGACCCCUCGGGGAGUCGCUGAGGAGUGGGUGGCUGGGGUGGAGGCCCACAUUCAUCAAGCCGUUGAUUGCUGCUAGUCCCGUAGUCCCUCUGUAACCCUGCAUCCUCGCCCACUUAUCUGUUCCCAAACACUAAACAAACUACAUGAGAACAGAAAAAAAAACACACUUUGUCUUUAUCGUGGGGGUAAAAGGAGGAAGGGAGUGGAGGUGGGAGGGGCUUUGAGGAAAUAAUUACUGCUCCAUCAAACAGGGAGGAAGUCAUUUGGCCGGUCAGGCUGCCCCAGUGGAUAUUAGCUCCGCGAUGAAACAACAACAUGCCCACAUCCGCCUCUCAGCAGAGGGUGUAGUGAAGCUACAACAUCCAGGCAGAAUGUUGUGAUAAUCACAGGCCACCGCAGCAGGUGUACACAUAAGCAACACACUCAAAUUGCGUGGUGUGCAUGCGUACAUGCCCGGGCAAAUAUACGCAAGAACACGCGCACAAUCAAAAGGGUUUCGGUCGUACAAAAUAAAUCCCAGAGACCGACCUGAGUUCAUCCAUAACUACACAGGAACAAGUGAUGAGGUAUCACUAUAGGUAAGUAAGAAAAUAUGGAUCUAAUCAUGGCAGAAUCACACCGUGGCAUUAUAUAAAAGUAAAUAAUAUAUAUAUAUAUAUAUAUAUCAGUAUGGGAACCAUAAUACAGGAAGAAGGAAGGUCAACUGUCAGUGUUGAGUUGGCCCCGCUGCUCUGUCCGUCCCUGAUAUUUUGCAGCUCUGCAAACAAACAGCUUGUGUUUUUCUUGGCCCCUUCUGCUCUGCACAACGGCCACAGUCGAGUUAGAAACACAGUUACUCGAUGUGUCGAUGUGGGAUAGGGUUACGUAUUCGCGCGCUGCGAUCGGCCCGAGAAUUUUAGCUUCUUGUUGUUUCCUGCAACACAACAAGAAUGCACCUGUACAAUCCGUCCGCCGUGACUCGGCCAUGUGCCUUAGAAGAGAGCCGGCGCCUGUGAACUGUUGCUCACGCUGAUGAGCGCGUCGGUGGGCAUUCGCAAUGUGGUCGCUCGGUGGUUGUCUCGGCAUUCGAAGGACGUGUGUCAGAGAACGCCGCGCGCCUUCGGAAGUCUAACCGUGGCAGACAUGAAUGCAUGCGCGCGUGUGUGUGUGUGUGUGAGCAGCUGAAAGUGAGGAAGUGUCCGGGGGUCUUUCUAGUCGUCGCGGGUGACGAGUUGUCCUAAUCACCUGGCAUCCCUGCUGUCAAAGGAUGUCAAAGUUUAUGUUCAGCUCUUGAUCAUUCAAUCGGGAGCUGGUAUCUAAACUGUGAUGACUCAGUGAUUUCCAUUGCGGGUUUCUCUGUUGCUGUGCGACCCCGGGAGGCCUCGGCCGGUCGUUCGUCUGACUACUUGUGAAGCGGAAUUCUAUUUGACGUUCAUGCUCCGGCACAGAGCUGGAUCCAAAGACAACCCUAAUAGUGGACAUUAAUGCCUAGUGAACUGCAGGCAAAGGUAAUCCGGAUUUUCCAUCUGAUGUGACAUGCUGGGGGAGUGCGGUGAGUAUCAUGCAUGCUUGUGUGUUAGCCCGAGAGAGACAUGUGUGUGUGUGUGUGUGUGUGUGUGUGUGUCCGGCUGCCUGCCCUCAGGAGAUUUUUGGCCAAUAGCCCGACAAAACCAAUGGUUCCUGUACAAAGUUGGACUAACUCCCACUGGAGAGCUGAGGACCAGCUGGGGCCCCUUCUAAUAAGGAAGUGGUACUUUAUUCCUUCACCCCCUACUGACGCACACACACACAUACGUAAUAGCAACAGCGUGGCCUUGUCCCUGCACCGGGUCUCAGACCUAGAUACAUGUCAGCAGCUGCAUUCAUCACCGCCCAGCUCCAGCAGCGAUUGCUGGUAUGUGAGAAACACAGCCGGGGCCUAAAGGCUUUUCUCCGGAUUAAAGGGGCUUCAGACGCGCCUCUUCUUCGUGGGCCGCACUGCGCAGGUAGAGAUCUUAAAGGGCCAUACGGGUGUUAGUGAAAAGUUUUAGGCUAAUGAGUUAGAAAUUGAGAGCACUUUACAUUUUCACACAGCGUUCUCGAACAUGGGCUCCCGGUAAUGAAGAUGAGAGAUUAAAACACAUCUGUGGCAGGAUUAGAUAGAAAAGACAAAUACCAUCCAGAGUGGUUUUCACAACUUGGAAACUGUUUUUUUUUUCCUCAUUGAUUGCAGACUACAGACAACCAGAGUCGGUGUUGGUUCUAUAUUCUCGCUCUUCCUUCGCAGCACCAGAUCAAUGAGCACCGAUAACAGACACAGGAACACUUGCCACCUGAAGCCUGGCUGGAAAAAAAGAGGAAACAAAGGACACAUUUACUGCAAACCCAGUCCCUUCCCACAUUGUCAAACACUACGUGUUUACCUAUCUCACAUUAUGCGCCCGGGCCUGACUUAUUGAAUGUAACAUAUUAAGCUCGCGAAUCACUAAACCGUUCCCUAAUCCGCCCAGACAUGUUCAAUGAUCAACCCAAUCUUUAACCUUGGUGUCUCAGCCAGAACAAAUAGG
Long non-coding RNA from Gasterosteus aculeatus aculeatus (three-spined stickleback), 3841 nucleotides. The record is from Ensembl. NCBI's taxonomy places the organism in Eukaryota, Metazoa, Chordata, Actinopteri, Perciformes, Gasterosteidae.